This 253-nucleotide ribosomal RNA is filed under the name uncultured bacterium. Its description in RNAcentral is "partial 16S ribosomal RNA". It matches the Rfam family "Bacterial small subunit ribosomal RNA", at positions 524 to 776 of the family's 1533-position model. The record is from RNAcentral.
CACGUAGGGGGCAAGCGUUGUCCGGAAUCGUUGGGCGUAAAGAGCGUGUAGGCGGUCCGUUAAGUCGGCUGUGAAAGUCCAAGGCUCAACCUUGGGAUGCCGGUCGAUACUGCCGGACUAGAGUUCGGAAGAGGCGAGUGGAAUUCCCGGUGUAGCGGUGAAAUGCGCAGAUAUCGGGAGGAACACCUAUGGCGAAGGCAGCUCGCUGGGACGUUACUGACGCUGAGACGCGAAAGCGUGGGGAGCAAACAGG